GAUGAACGCUGGCGGCGUGCCUAAUACAUGCAAGUCGAGCGAACGGACGAGAAGCUUGCUUCUCUGAUGUUAGCGGCGGACGGGUGAGUAACACGUGGAUAACCUACCUAUAAGACUGGGAUAACUUCGGGAAACCGGAGCUACUACCGGAUAAUAUUUUUAACCGCAUGGUUCAAAAGUGAAAGACGGUCUUGCUGUCACUUCUAGAUGGAUCCGCGCUGCAUUAGCUAGUUGGUAAGGUAACGGCUUACCAAGGCAACGAUGCAUAGCCGACCUGAGAGGGUGAUCGGCCACACUGGAACUGAGACACGGUCCAGAGUCCUACGGGAGGCAGCAGUAGGGAAUCUUCCGCAAUGGGCGAAAGCCUGACGGAGCAACGCAGCGUGAGUGAUGAAGGUCUUCGGAUCGUAAAACUCUGUUAUUAGGGAAGAACAUAUGUGUAAGUAACUGUGCACAUCGUGACGGUACCUAAUCAGAAAGCCACGGCUAACUACGUG
RNAcentral lists this ribosomal RNA (497 nucleotides) under uncultured bacterium. RNAcentral describes it as "partial 16S ribosomal RNA". It matches the Rfam family "Bacterial small subunit ribosomal RNA", at positions 28 to 507 of the family's 1533-position model. The record is from RNAcentral.